GGCUUAACACAUGCAAGUCGAGGGGUAGCAGGGUAGCAAUACCGCUGACGACCGGCGCACGGGUGAGUAACACGUAUCCAACCUUCCCAUUACUCGGGGAUAGCCUUUCGAAAGAAAGAUUAAUACCCGAUAGUACAAUGAAUAGGCAUCUAUUUAUUGUUAAAGAUUUAUUGGUAAUGGAUGGGGAUGCGUUCCAUUAGAUUGUUGGUGAGGUAACGGCUCACCAAGUCUUCGAUGGAUAGGGGUUCUGAGAGGAAGGUCCCCCACAUUGGUACUGAGACACGGACCAAACUCCUACGGGAGGCAGCAGUGAGGAAUAUUGGUCAAUGGGCGAGAGCCUGAACCAGCCAAGUAGCGUGAAGGAUGACGG
This 370-nucleotide ribosomal RNA is filed under the name uncultured Bacteroidales bacterium. Its description in RNAcentral is "bacterial SSU rRNA". It matches the Rfam family "Bacterial small subunit ribosomal RNA", at positions 45 to 414 of the family's 1533-position model. Lineage: Bacteria; Pseudomonadati; Bacteroidota; Bacteroidia; Bacteroidales. The record is from RNAcentral.